CCUGGAACUCACUAUGUAGCCCAGGCUGGUCUCAAACUCACAGAGAUCCUCCUGCCGCAGCCUCCCAAGUGCUGGGAU
Molecule: microRNA precursor, 78 nt
Organism: Fukomys damarensis (Damara mole-rat)
Lineage: Eukaryota; Metazoa; Chordata; Mammalia; Rodentia; Bathyergidae
Source: Ensembl